RNAcentral lists this ribosomal RNA (942 nucleotides) under uncultured Halorhabdus sp. RNAcentral's name for it is "bacterial SSU rRNA". It matches the Rfam family "Archaeal small subunit ribosomal RNA", at positions 7 to 945 of the family's 1478-position model. Lineage: Archaea; Methanobacteriati; Methanobacteriota; Halobacteria; Halobacteriales; Haloarculaceae. The record is from RNAcentral.
GUUGAUCCUGCCGGAGGCCAUUGCUAUCGGAGUCCGAUUUAGCCAUGCUAGUCGCACGAGUUCAGACUCGUGGCGGAAAGCUCAGUGACACGUGGCCAAACUACCCUAUGGACGGAACUAACCUCGGGAAACUGAGGCUAAUGUCCGAUACGGCUCCCACGCUGGAACGCGGGGAGCCGGAAACGCUCCGGCGCCAUAGGAUGUGGCUGCGGCCGAUUAGGUAGACGGUGGGGUAACGGCCCACCGUGCCGAUAAUCGGUAUGGGUCAUGAGAGUGAGAACCCAGAGACGGUAUCUGAGACAAGAUACCGGGCCCUACGGGGCGCAGCAGGCGCGAAACCUUUACACUGCACGACAGUGCGAUAAGGGGACUCCGAGUGCGAGGGCAUACAGUCCUCGCUUUUCUGUACCGUAGGGUGGUACAGGAACAAGUGCUGGGCAAGACCGGUGCCAGCCGCCGCGGUAAUACCGGCAGCACGAGUGAUGGCCGAUAUUAUUGGGCCUAAAGCGUCCGUAGCUGGCCGGACAAGUCCGUUGGGAAAUCCACCCGCUUAACGGGUGGGCGUCCAGCGGAAACUGUCCGGCUUGGAGCCGGAAGACCUGAGGGGUACGUCCGGGGUAGGAGUGAAAUCCCGUAAUCCUGGACGGACCGCCGGUGGCGAAAGCGCCUCAGGAGGACGGACUCGACAGUGAGGGACGAAAGCCAGGGUCUCGAACCGGAUUAGAUACCCGGGUAGUCCUGGCUGUAAACGAUGUCGCUAGGGGGGUGGGCGCAGGCUACGAGCCUGCGCUUGUGCCGUAGGGAAGCCGUGGAAGCGGACCGCCUGGGGAAGUACGUCCGCAAGGAUGAAACUUAAAGGAAUUGGCGGGGGAGCACUACAACCGGAGGAGCCUGCGGUUUAAUUGGACUCAACGCCGGACAUCUCACCAGCAUCGACUGUAG